Molecule: long non-coding RNA, 432 nt
Filed under: Salvator merianae (Argentine black and white tegu)
Lineage: Eukaryota; Metazoa; Chordata; Lepidosauria; Squamata; Teiidae
Description: lncRNA (ENSSMRG00000020345.1)
Source: RNAcentral
AGAAUAUAUAAUAGUUCAUCUUCAGCAUGAAAAAGAGGAACGUGCAGAAGGACUUUCCACGCUUGUGAUUUAUUUGGACAUUGAAGAUUCUUACCAGCAUGAGAAUCAGUCCCAGUGGACAGUUAUUAUUUCAGCAAUAGGAGUCUUGUGCCACAAACUUCUCGUUGAUCAGAUACAUAGAGAAAUUGAAGGUUUGUUUCCUUGGUGUCAGAACAAAGCCCUUCAUGGAAAGGGGUGUCCCCAUGAAUCUCUGCACCUCAUGCCUUUCCAGCUGUCCUUUGAGUUGUAUGAGAAAUCUGAUGUUAUCAAGGAAGAUUGUUUAACACUCAAACAGUUCAUCUAUAGGACCAGCCUUAUGCACACAGAGGUAAGACACUGUUCCUGUACUCAGGAUCAACAGGCUGAAAACAGAAAUUUUAAGGGAGGAAUUCU